UUCCAUUGGGGCAGUGUUGGAAAAACUGAAGAUGACUAACUGAUCUUGACCUGCAACAGAAGCAGUUUGUCGGUUUUGAACGAACAAGAGGGUUCGUUCACCUAGAAGACAAAGAAGUGGGAAAGCAGAGGCCUUUGUCCGCAAAGAACAACAAAAGAUUCAUAUGUAAGCUGGAAAGCAGGAGUAAGGUCCUGACAACGAUUGAUUGGCCGGAGAAGAAACAGAAAGUUCUUCCUCUCUUGGGGAAAGAGUUAACACUUCUCAAAAUGGAAAACCAAAUAAUAUGGAUUCAUCUACAUUGAUGAGUUUAAGAAAACAUCCCAUACUCA
This is a long non-coding RNA of Haliotis rubra (blacklip abalone), 329 nucleotides long. RefSeq lists it as uncharacterized. Lineage: Eukaryota; Metazoa; Mollusca; Gastropoda; Lepetellida; Haliotidae. The record is from RefSeq and is a predicted model, not a curated record. The transcript has 3 exons.